GAGUGGCGGACGGGUGAGUAAUGUCUGGGAAACUGCCUGAUGGAGGGGGAUAACUACUGGAAACGGUAGCUAAUACCGCAUAACGUCGCAAGACCAAAGAGGGGGACCUUCGGGCCUCUUGCCAUCAGAUGUGCCCAGAUGGGAUUAGCUAGUAGGUGGGGUAACGGCUCACCUAGGCGACGAUCCCUAGCUGGUCUGAGAGGAUGACCAGCCACACUGGAACUGAGACACGGUCCAGACUCCUACGGGAGGCAGCAGUGGGGAAUAUUGCACAAUGGGCGCAAGCCUGAUGCAGCCAUGCCGCGUGUAUGAAGAAGGCCUUCGGGUUGUAAAGUACUUUCAGCGGGGAGGAAGGUGUUGUGGUUAAUAACCGCAGCAAUUGACGUUACCCGCAGAAGAAGCACCGGCUAACUCCGUGCCAGCAGCCGCGGUAAUACGGAGGGUGCAAGCGUUAAUCGGAAUUACUGGGCGUAAAGCGCACGCAGGCGGUCUGUCAAGUCGGAUGUGAAAUCCCCGGGCUCAACCUGGGAACUGCAUUCGAAACUGGCAGGCUAGAGUCUUGUAGAGGGGGGUAGAAUUCCAGGUGUAGCGGUGAAAUGCGUAGAGAUCUGGAGGAAUACCGGUGGCGAAGGCGGCCCCCUGGACAAAGACUGACGCUCAGGUGCGAAAGCGUGGGGAGCAAAACAGAUUAGAUACCCUGGUAGUCCACGCCGUAAACGAUGUCGAUUUGGAGGUUGUGCCCUUGAGCGUGCUUCCGGAGCUAACGCGUUUAAUCGACCGCCUGGGGAGUACGGCCGCAAGGUUAAAACUCAA
Molecule: ribosomal RNA, 813 nt
Filed under: Enterobacter cloacae
Lineage: Bacteria; Pseudomonadati; Pseudomonadota; Gammaproteobacteria; Enterobacterales; Enterobacteriaceae
Description: bacterial SSU rRNA
Rfam family: Bacterial small subunit ribosomal RNA
Source: RNAcentral